CUUCAACGACCCCAACCACAGCGGCCGCUCGGGCAAGCGGUCCUGCCCGUAGGUCGCCAGCAACGCCUGCGCCUC
This 75-nucleotide antisense RNA is filed under the name Streptomyces sp. 846.5. Its description in RNAcentral is "ASpks TB sRNA". It matches the Rfam family "ASpks TB sRNA". The record is from Rfam by way of RNAcentral. Lineage: Bacteria; Bacillati; Actinomycetota; Actinomycetes; Kitasatosporales; Streptomycetaceae.